GCCCCUGGAGGAGCUCAGUAAUGCUCACAGACCAGGGGAUAGAGCUUGGAAAGAGGGCCUGGAAGAGUGGAUUCAGUUUCUCCCCAGCACAGAACACCCUCCUCUGCCAGCCCCAGCCCCAGCACACUCUUACUGUCUUUAGGACCUGUUCUAUCUGCCUCCUCCAGGAAGCCUUCCCUGUCACUCAGCUGGGAUGAGAUCCCUCCGUGUCCUCGCUGCAUGUAUGCAGGCCAGCUCCUUCACUCUGCAUCCCUGAGCUGAGGGCAUUGACCGGCCACAGCAGGACAGGCGCUGAGGCUCCAAGCUCCUUUUCAAAUGGAAGUUGUGCGGGGAAAUCCUCGAGGGAGGUCCCCCAGUCAGGCGGACCUUGCAGACGGACCACCCCUCAGCCCCACUUUGAAGGGUCCCCUCUUCAGAGCCUUCGAUGGCCAUCCUGGACCCUACGACUGAAGCCAGUUUCCUAGGCCUGACCUCUCAACUUUGACCACGCUUCUCAUAUCAGUCAAGGCCCAGCUUACCCCGGACCUCCUCCAGCAAGGCCCCUGACCUCUACAGCCUCGUGCCCCCUUCCACUGACCUCCAACGGCCUGCUGCAGUGUUCACUGCUUACAUUUCAAGACUGCCUGCUGUAUGCGGGUCACUGAGAUUAGUAAGUGUCUUUAGCUGCUUCAUCUUGCUUCCUCCCUGAGUGACCGGCACCACCACCCCUAUUAGGCUCAGUGAGAUUUAGUAACUUGCCCCGAAUUACGUCAUUGGUUAGAGCGAUAACCAGGGCUUGAAUCCGACUGAUGGCCGCCCUCCAACCCUUUGCUCUAAACUGGGGGCCAGCAAACUUGUGACCCCACUGGUUAAAUUCUGCCAACUGUCUGCUUCUGCGCCGCCCGAGCUAGAAUGGUUUUUACAUGGCUGAAAAAAAAGAAUCGAGAAAAAAUGUAAAAUUUUGGCGCAUGGGAAAAUCACAUGAAAUUACAAUGCCAUUGUCCAUUAAUAAAGUUAUAUUGGAACACGG
This is a long non-coding RNA of Lynx canadensis (Canada lynx), 1009 nucleotides long. RefSeq lists it as uncharacterized. NCBI's taxonomy places the organism in Eukaryota, Metazoa, Chordata, Mammalia, Carnivora, Felidae. The record is from RefSeq and is a predicted model, not a curated record. The transcript is spliced from 3 exons.